GGAAGGAUCAUUUCUACACCCCCACUUAGUUGAUUAUGCCUAUUUUCGAGAUAGUGUGUACGCCAGCAGCGAGACACUUAAACAUCUAGUCUGUCGACGGCUUCGCACUUCGGGUGCUGAUCUCCACACGUAACACAGACCUGUAGGUUCGGCCUCCGAAUCAGCCUUGUUAGGGAGGGUUACCAACCUGUGUCUGUAUAUUAAAUCAAAAUAUUAGCAAUGGAUAUCUUGGGUCAUUACACGAUGAGAACGCCGCAAAACGCGAUAUUUAUGUGAAUUGCAGAAUUCAGUGAAUCAUCAAACCUUUGAACGCAUGUAUCACGAUGCAGGUCUCCUGUAUCGUAUAUUAAUUCAGUGUAAUUUCAAACUUAUUGCUAGUUAAUACACUAGUUAAUUACUCUUAAACAAAAUUUCUUUAAGUUUUACCUGAAUUAAAUAAGAUUACCCACUGAACUUAAGCAUAUUAUUAAGUGGAGGAAAAGAAACUAACUAGGAUUCCCUUAGUAAAGGCGAUUGAACAGGGAAUAGCUCAAACUGAAAAUCUACAGUCUCGGCUGUAUGAGUUGUGAUUAAUAGAGAUAUUCUCAGCGUGCAGCGUCGCUCAAUAUGUACUGGAAAGUACUGUCACAGAGGGUGAUAUUCCCGUGUGUAAGUGACAUUUGCCGCAAUCGAGAUAUCUUCAAUGAGUCGGGUUGCUUGGGAGUGCAGCCUCAAUUGGGUGGUGAAUUCCAUCUAAAGCUAAAUAUGUAAUGACACCAAUAGCAUAAAAGUACCGUGAGGGAAAGAUGAAAAGAACUUUGGAAAGAGAGUCAAAUAGUACUUGAAAUUGCUAAUGUUAACCAAUUACACGAAUGUGUAGGCAUUACCUAUGUGAGAGCAUGUUGAAUGAGCUUGGAAGUAUUGCUUUCGAUAUGAAUAUGCUUAUUAUAUUGUUCAAACGUGGGUAUGGUAUGAUGUCUACGAAAUUCAGGUAAUUGACCCGUCUUGAAACACGGACCAAGGAGUCUAACGUAUCGGCAAGCAUAUGACAUUAAUGUCUACUGCGUAAUGAAAGUGUACAUGUGUAUACGACGUUAUCUGUAUAACGCGGCUUCUCAUUGUAGAAGGUACGACGACGAGUCGAUACGCUAGGACCCGAAAGAUGGUGAACUAUUCCUGGGCAGAAUGAAGCCAGGGGAAACUCUGGUGGAAGUUCGAAGCGUUACUGACGUGCAAAUCGUUCGUAUGACCUGGGUAUAGGGGCGAAAGACUAAUCGAACCAUCUAGUAGCUGGUUCCCUC
RNAcentral lists this unclassified non-coding RNA (1280 nucleotides) under uncultured fungus. RNAcentral's name for it is "sequence contains 18S rRNA gene, ITS1, 5.8S rRNA gene, ITS2, 28S rRNA gene". The stretch from base 422 to 1280 matches the Rfam family "Eukaryotic large subunit ribosomal RNA", at positions 1 to 961 of the family's 3401-position model. The record is from RNAcentral. Lineage: Eukaryota; Fungi.